GACUCUCGGCAACGGAUAUCUCGGCUCUCGCCACGAUGAAGAAUGUAGGCGAAAUGCGAUACUUAGUGUGAAUUGCAGAAUCCCCGUGAAUCAUCGAGUCUUUGAACGCAAGUUGCGCCCGAGGCCUCGGCCGAGGGGCACGUCUGCUUGGGCGUCG
Ribosomal RNA from Cryptomeria japonica (Japanese cedar), 157 nucleotides. RefSeq annotates it as 5.8S ribosomal RNA. NCBI's taxonomy places the organism in Eukaryota, Viridiplantae, Streptophyta, Pinopsida, Cupressales, Cupressaceae. The record is from RefSeq and is a predicted model, not a curated record. The transcript has a single exon.